Molecule: RNA transcript, 2283 nt
Organism: Phoenix dactylifera (date palm)
Lineage: Eukaryota; Viridiplantae; Streptophyta; Magnoliopsida; Arecales; Arecaceae
Gene name: DNA repair metallo-beta-lactamase family protein
Source: RefSeq, a predicted model, not a curated record
AAAAACCCCACGGAUUUAGAUUCCCGCUGACCCGCCCCCUUCGGCAGUCAACCCUCCAGCGGCUCCAAAGUCGGGGUUAAUUCAAUUUGAAAAUCCCUCUCUUCCCCGCCGUUCCCGCCGACGUCGCAGCUCCAGUCUAGGGCAAGAAGAGAAGAUAGAGACAGAGAGAGAGAGAGAGAGAAAGAGAAAUGGAGAAGGGUUUGAUCUCGAUCGAUCGGUGGAGCGAGAAGAACCAGGCCUACUUCCUCACCCACCUCCAUGCCGACCACACCGUGGGCCUCUCCCCCCGGUGGUCUCGCGGUCCCCUCUUCUGCUCCCCCAUAUCCGCCCGGCUCUUUCCCUCCAAAUUUCCUGGCUUCGAUCUCUCCUUGCUGAGGGUUCUGGAGGUGGGACGCACCCAUCCCCUCUCUCUCGCCUCCGCGACCCAUGGAUCUGAGGUCCAGAUCCUCGUCACACCAAUCGAUGCUCACCACUGUCCUGGUGCUGUGAUGUAUUUGUUCCGUGGGGAGUUUGGAUGCGUUUUGUACACGGGAGACUUUCGGUGGGAACUGAAAUCAGAAAGGGCUAAGCUGGCGAAGAAAACACUCCUUGAUGCUCUCCGAGGAGAUAAAGUGGGCAAUCUUUACUUGGACAAUACCUAUUGCCAUCCUUCAUUCUCAUUUCCUCCGCGUGAAGUUGCAACCCAGCAGGUAGUCGAUAUCAUUACUCAGCAUCCUAACCAUGAAAUUGUCAUUGGCAUUGACACACUUGGGAAGGAAGCCCUGUUGCUGCAUAUAUCACAAGCUCUAAGUACAAAGAUUUGGGUCUGGCCUGAGCGUUUGCAAAUCAUGCACCUUCUCGGGUUUGAUAACAUUUUUACAACAAAGACCCGUCUUACAAGGGUGCGUGCUGUUCCUCGAUACAGUCUCACCUUUGAGACGCUUGAGGCAUUGAACACAAUACAUCCCACCAUUGGAAUUAUGCCCUCUGGUCUUCCAUGGGGGUUGAAACCCCCCAAAGUAGAUGAUACUUUUGGAACAUCACUUGAAAAUUGCUAUGAAGGCAAAGGGAGUGCUACCAGUAGGAUACAGAUUGAGACAAAUCAGAUACAACCUCCAAGAAAGCUUCAUCAAUAUGCCUAUUCUGUUCCAUAUUCUGAACAUUCAUGCUUCACUGAGAUAGAGGAGUUUCUGAAGAUCAUCCAGCCAUCAGUUGUUACUGGGAUUGUUUCUUCAUCCUUCUAUUACAUUGAUCCUCGUCACUACUUUGGCUAUCUCUGUGGAGUUGGUCAUCUCUUUCAUAAACCUUGCAGAAACUUCAGAUGUGAGAAAGCCAAAAAUGUUGAAGUCAACCAAUGUCAAUCUUUUCCAGGGUGCAGAAGUCCUAAUCAGCUGAAGAAGAGAAAAGAAGGGAGCAUCAAGUUUGCUAGCUUCCGUGUGCGCAGGAGUAGAUUAUCUGCAAUACGAAAGGGAAAACAUGGUGUGAAGAUCAUGGAAAUUGAUUGAAUUUCUGGCUCUUAUCUGAAUGUAUGAAACAUGUAGCCUCUAGUGGAGGAUGAUUGGCUAAUAGAUAUAGCCUCUGUUCUGUACAUCCAGCUAACAAUAGCAAUACAUCAUGUGGGAUCUACAAAUCCAAGGUGAAUUAGUUGCUAUGAGGGUUGCCCAUGCUCAUGUCACAUUCCUGGGACUUGAGAGAAGGAAAUGUUUUUACAGGAGGAAAUGUGGGAUGGUGGUCUCGUAGGGUUAUUAGGCACGGACAUAACAGCUCUAAAGUUUUGCUGAUUGAUGAUCCUCGUCAUAUUCAAAAAAUUAGGCACAUCUGAGUUCGUAGCUCAGAUCACGAUGCAGCUGUUACUGCAUGAGCAAUGGAGCCUCCUUCAGGUAUGUAAUGAACCGAGGAACCUCAUGGCUCGGUUUAUUUUCUUCAUCUCUCCUGCAGCUUAACGUUCAGGCCUGGAACUUCCAUAGUGCUAUUUUUUUUUUUUUGAAAUAACAGGAAUGUGAUCAUGCACGUGAAACUUAUGAUUGUGUCACACUGCAAAAAACCAAUUAAAAGAUUUUACUUUUUGUUCAUUUGGACUUGGUGUUAAAACUAACUACAGUUACUGUUUGGAUGGACUUGUCCUGGUCUUCUAAUGGUUCAUAUGGACUGAUUAGGUAAGCACAAUCUUACUCCCAGCUAUUGGUAGUUACGAAUUUGCGAUCAAUCUGAAGUGAUCCAAGUCGUUGCUAUUAGAAGUCAUUGAAUGUUGCUUGGUGUCACCUAACAGAUCAUGGAGGUACAUUCAUCGAAUUCAUAGUUUUC